UCGCGAUCUCGGGCGAUCACCAGAACGC
This 28-nucleotide small RNA is filed under the name Bombyx mori (domestic silkworm). Its description in RNAcentral is "ovarian small RNA-28775". The record is from RNAcentral. Lineage: Eukaryota; Metazoa; Arthropoda; Insecta; Lepidoptera; Bombycidae.